AAUGCAAUGAAGAUAACUUCAUUUAAUAAUAAAUUAAAUUUUAUAUUUUAUUUUUAUGUAUUCUUUCAGGAUCUUAGUAACGGGGUCAUGUUGCCAUUGCCACCGAAAGCCUUUCUUGGAGGUUCUCCUUACUGCUGUGAAAAGGCAUACCAUUCAUGGGAACUCUUUCAGGAGCAGGAUGACUCAACUGGUCCCAGACAGGUUAAAUCCUUGCUACUGAUACUCUCUGGACGGAAUCACUAGAGGCAGGAAAUACACUUUGCCAAAAUGCAGACAAACUGCCAGCCUGUUUCUACGUGCUCUUCUUUGAGGCAACUCCUUUUGCUGAAAAGAGGACACGUUGCCCAAGUAGGUUUUUCAGGAUUUUGUCUUGGGUUAUUCUAAUAUUUGCAAAUAUAACUUGA
This 404-nucleotide long non-coding RNA is filed under the name Numida meleagris (helmeted guineafowl). Its description in RNAcentral is "lncRNA (ENSNMEG00000005948.1)". The record is from RNAcentral. Lineage: Eukaryota; Metazoa; Chordata; Aves; Galliformes; Numididae.